UCUUCUACGGUUUGUUUCAAGUCAUGGUAAAAAGUAUCCUGUAGAACAGUGUUUCUCAACCUUUUUUGGGCCACGGCACACUUGUUCCAUAAAAAAAUCACGAGGCACACCACCAUUAAAAAAGUUAAAAAAAUUAACUCUGUGCCGCCCUAUAUUGACUAUAGGAAGGAGGAAAUUAAUCUCCCUCCCGCCGCCCCAUGGGAGGGGAGAAGCCUUCAGACCCCCAAUUCUCCUCUCCAGUCCAGGCAAGGCUCUGCCUGCCCCCGGAUUACAAGGGUUACCUUGGCUGCUGCUUGCGAGUAAUUCCGGACCGCGAAGCCCAGCGUCCGCCGCGCAGCCAUGGCGAAGGACGGGCGAAGGAGGCAGGGGAGGCGGAGCAACCUCGAUGCGGCUUAAGGGGGGCCGGCGGCGGAUCUGGAGCGUGCCUCCCUAGGGGGCCUCCCUAGACUCUAAAACCACCCUCCAGUCGUUUGCACUGAGCUUUGGGAAAGAGGAGGAGAAAUAUUGCUUUCCCGCGGGCCAGCGCUGGUUAUUGGCGGCCGCCAGGCAUGUGACAAUGUAAAACGCUCUUCUCGUCGCCGCACGUCGCGGCACACCAGCCAGCGUCUCGCGGCACACUAGUGUGCUGCGGAACAGCGGUUGAGAAACGCUGCUGUAGAAUACCAUGACCCCUUUCUUCAAACCUUAAUAUUUUCUAGUUCACUGAUUUCCCAGCCCUUCGAUUCCUUCCCCAGUGCAUCUAAACAUUGGCGCAACACUCCUAAGAUACAAUUUCCUUUUAUCCUUUCUGAUUGUCAAUGGGGUUUGAAGCCUCUUUAGGACAUUUGAAGAAAUGAUAUUUUGCUAUAUGCCUUGGGUAGGGUUGUUGUUUUUUUAAACAUGACUCUACUGUGUGUAAUUAAUCAUCUUGCAUCAAGUCAUUAAAAGUAAUUUCAGUAUGAGAAUCAUAGAAUUGUAGAGCUGAACGGAACAACGAGGGUCAUCUAAUCCAAAGCAGAAUUACAACUUUUUUUAAAAAAUGAAUAUAUUAUUUAUGUCAGUUCAUAAAAUGGACACAGUUGUGUCUAAGAAUAUAGAAAUGCGGGCUAAUACAAACCACAAACUUCGCUUAAAUGUUGACCAACAUCUUAUGUAUUUUUCCUGUGUGUUCUUUGCUAUCCUUUUAUCCUGGGUUUCUAACAAUGCAUAACUUGUGAAAGUUCCCCAAGUUUUCAAAUUGUGCACUUUCAAUAUUGCUUUCUCCUGCUCCAGAUUAAUGCAUUAAAUAACAUUUCAAUAUUUUUGGCUUUUUCUCACAUUUGGUAACAUGGGUUGUUGCCACUGUUCCCAUACUUUGCAGUUGGGCCAUAGGAUUGACUGGGUCUCCACCAACAAUCUUGCCACAUUUCGUUCUUAUUUCUGCUAGUUACUGCCCCUCAAAUCAUCUUUGCACAUCUCUGAUACAUGCAGGCCUCCUGGAAUUGCUUAUAUUCCUUACAUGCUCAACGCUUAUAUUCUUAUUAGCAAAUGCUAUAUUUGUGCAAAUGUUCCUAUAUGUCCAUAUUUUCUCCUAGCAGAAUUUGACACCAUUUCCUUUACACCCCCCCCCCAAAGAAACAUCAGAGGAAUAUUGAGCUGGCGGUUUGAUCUAGCUGUUUUAUGAGAUUAUAAAAUAACCAAGUGCUGUACUUAACUACUGGAUGAGAGGGAUAAUUGUUUCAUUUGUCACCAACAAUGUAUGUACAUUUGUACAGUCACUUUCCAUCCUUGCUGGUGAAAUGUCUAGAUAUUUUGGUUUGGGUGCUGGGAAAAUGUGAUAGCCACACACAAAAAUGAAAAGUAUUGGUUACUUAGCAAACUGAUUGCCAAUAACAGCACUGCCAUGAAUCAUCUUUCAUUUCAGAGGGACUUCCACCAUUCUGAGUAGGAUUGUGCCUGUUUCUGCCUUGAUGUCUUGGGCUUUUCAGCUGAGAGGUCUAUGCACGGACCAUUAAUUUCCUAUCAACAUAGGGUUUAGUGGGUCCCAGAAGAUCCCUUUAUUGAUGUUUGGCAUUUCCCCAGUCCCCGCGCAGCAUGAAACAUCACUUUACUUCAUUAUCUUUUUUGAAGGAAGUUUUAUUAGAGGAUAUACCAUUCCUUUAAUGAUGUUUGCAAUGUUAUUUUUAACUUCAUCUCUUAUGGUAGUUUGUUUAGCUAAUAGUUAGAUCUUCCUACACUUUAAAGCUCAUACUUCUGCAUGAAAUAUUAAUGGUAAAAAUAAUGAUCCACUGUUAAUGUUUCCAAUUAUGAGAAGAAAGGACUGAGGAAAAACAAUACUGAUAUUAAUUUUAUAAUAUUAUAAAUAAAUGUUGGAGCAAGUGCUGCAAACACACAGCAGUAAGAAAUAAAGUCCUUCGUAUAGCACACACAAGCAUAUCCUUCAGUUUGCUCAGGUUUAGGGUUUUGGUAGUUCAAUCAUAGUUUGUUAAAUAUGUGUGCUUUUUAAAUAUAAUUCUGAUAUCACCAAAACGAAUAUUUUAAAAUAGAUACCACAUUAAUUUUCUUUAGCAGCUAAUUGGAUAGAUACUUUUCUCCCCGAACUUUCUUUCCUGAGGCACUUUGCAUAGUUAACAUAUACUCACAAGAUAAAUUGAUAAUUGUGUGGAUUAAACCUCGUUAAUUGAAUGAUUGCUACAGAUGCAUGAACUGACUGCUACAGCUGAGCUUUUAAUAAACACAUUUUAAAAGUCCACUUCAAUUAGUAACCUUGAUUGUAAAAUCUUGUACCACCUAUUGUGAUUGUAGUGCGGAAGCCCCUCACCCUAUUUAGUUCACCUAAUGUGAUGGUUUGGAAUAUCCAGUUGCUUAGGGAAGAAAGCAGUUUGCAGUCCAGCUUCUGUAAGGAAAGAGAAAAUCAUUACAGUAGUUUGGAAUUAAAACCCCAAGCAGGUAUUGAGAACUGCUUCUGGGAUAUAGGGAUAUAGGGAUAUAGGGAAACUAUAGGACAGGGAGCCCAGAGGCAAAGAAACUUAAGAAAAAGUACCAGUCAGGUAAAGGACUGAGGAAUACAUUGGGUUUGUGAGAGGCAUAUAAUUUCAGCAGAACCUGCUGCUUUAGUAAGUGUGAUUCAGAUGCUACUACAUUGGAGGUCAGAAGCUGCUACUCAGAUUUUUUGCAAGGGAGGGCUUCAGGCUGAACUAAUAAUAAAAUGAGUUGGAUUCUAGAAAGGCAAUCAAUAGACACGGCAGUCAAUAGAAAGUAGUAUUUUUAAUAGGGUGGAACUAAAAAUAAUUUCUAAAAUACACGGGAAGUUCCGCAUGGAAAAUACAAUGGGCUGUUGAAGCAGAUAAACCACUUUAUUACUGGAAAUAAUAAUGGAAACACGGAUAAACUUUAGGCCUCGGUCCAUAAUCAAAGGUAGUGGUACACCCCGAUAUUAUUUUGAUUCAGAUAUGAUUGUGCUGAUAAAUCAAUAACAGAAAGAGACAACUUUAUUUUAGCACAUGCUGAAAAUAGGUGUGACAAACAAGGUCUCUCUCUCUGUGUGUGUGCUUGUGUGUGACUGUGCAGAUAGCUUUUGUAUAUUCUGUCACAUGGGCUUCCAGUAGACUUUCAUCCAAGGUACUGAUCUGAGCCACACUCAAAUGAACUCCAGCCGUUCUGUAGUAUUGGGUACUCCCCUGAACAAGAUAGAUAUAGAUAUUGAUAAACCUUCAGUGACAAUUGGUUCUCAGACAUUUUCUGGAAGGGAAGGUUGGUCUUCCUUCUGUACAAAAUAAUAGUUUUUGUCCCAAAUAAUGGUAAACGAAUAGAAAGGGGCUAGUUUUUCAGCAAAUUAGCUUAGCAUUGCAGGGAUUAAGGGGUGACUAAUGUUUCCACCAUUUCAAAUGUAAUAAUUUUCAAAGAAAACUAAGUACCACAUCAUUCCUAUUAAAUUGUCAUGCCUGACAUAAUGACAUUACACUGGUGAAUGAAAGAUAGCUUGCAUUUCUUAAUUUAUUGUGAUCAUAAUGCUUUUUAGAAUAAAAAAACCAGGAAGAGGAAAACAUUUAAAUAUUAACUUGCAUGUUUAGGCUGCAGUCAUCUACUCACAUGGGAGUAAGAAUUGAACUCAAUAGGGCUUCCAUCUGAAUAGAAUAAGUUGUUAGGUUAUAGCUAUAUUGAGCACAAUCCAUUUGGUACUUCUGUUGCACAUCCUUCAUUAAUUUCAGGCUUUAUGCAAACUGCAGCAAUAAGGCUGCCCAUAUCUGUCACAAGCUCCAAAAAAUGUGACCUGGCCAGGGCGAAGGAGAGGAGCUGGAAAAUGAAGGUAUUGAGUUGCUUUUGUCUCUAUUUCAAAAGCUUCUGUCAUCUAGAAAUUUCAGAAUUUCAUUUCACAUCUGUUGAGCUAUGACUGCACUUGAUGAAAAAUCCUUCACGGCUGAAGGAGCAAAUUAAAAAAAAAAUCGAUGAUAAGUUAAUGGAAGAAUAUGGAGCUGAGACAAGUGUAGCUGUAGUUUCCAGAGAACAGCAUCA
Zootoca vivipara (common lizard) is the source of this 4473-nucleotide non-coding RNA. NCBI's taxonomy places the organism in Eukaryota, Metazoa, Chordata, Lepidosauria, Squamata, Lacertidae. The record is from RefSeq and is a predicted model, not a curated record.